This 379-nucleotide RNase P RNA is filed under the name Klebsiella huaxiensis. RNAcentral describes it as "RNase P RNA component class A". It matches the Rfam family "Bacterial RNase P class A". From Rfam's summary of the family: Ribonuclease P (RNase P) is a ubiquitous endoribonuclease, found in archaea, bacteria and eukarya as well as chloroplasts and mitochondria. Its best characterised activity is the generation of mature 5'-ends of tRNAs by cleaving the 5'-leader elements of precursor-tRNAs. Cellular RNase Ps are ribonucleoproteins. The record is from RNAcentral. RNAcentral also lists the same sequence under 2 other names. Lineage: Bacteria; Pseudomonadati; Pseudomonadota; Gammaproteobacteria; Enterobacterales; Enterobacteriaceae.
GAAGCUGACCAGACAGUCGCCGCUUCGUCGUCGUCCUCUUCGGGGGAGACGGGCGGAGGGGAGGAAAGUCCGGGCUCCAUAGGGCAGGGUGCCAGGUAACGCCUGGGAGGCGCAAGCCUACGACCAGUGCAACAGAGAGCAAACCGCCGAUGGCCCACGCAAGUGGGAUCAGGUAAGGGUGAAAGGGUGCGGUAAGAGCGCACCGCGCGGCUGGUAACAGUUCGUGGCACGGUAAACUCCACCCGGAGCAAGGCCAAAUAGGGGUUCACAAGGUACGGCCCGUACUGAACCCGGGUAGGCUGCUUGAGCCAGUGAGCGAUUGCUGGCCUAGAUGAAUGACUGUCCACGACAGAACCCGGCUUAACGGUCAGCUUCCUCA